UAGCACUUGAAAACGUAAAAGUCCAGGAAGUUGAAGAAACAAAUUCGACGUAACAAAUAAAUUACUCCAAAAAAUCUCUUAAAAAGAGUACUCUAAAAGGGAAUAAUCCAAAGAAUAAUGUAUCCAAGAUACCGGCACCUCCGAACACUUUCGACGUUGCACUCAAGAAUUGCUCCGGCAUCAUACCUACUAAGAAGUUGCAAUUCGGUGACUUGGAUAAUGCUCGUAGCUCGAGGAAUGAGGAUAUGGCACGAGAAUUAGCAGAAAAGGAUGCCAAAAUUGCAGAUCUGAUGGAGGCUUUACGAAAACAGCAAGAGAAAAGUGAGAAUAACUUUUGGCUUGAAGGCAGCCCUGAAUCCCAUAUAAGUCCUCGGAGAACUUCUCUGAUUUCGACACAAAAAUUUUCAAGCACGAAGAGUCCAAC
Molecule: long non-coding RNA, 424 nt
Organism: Phymastichus coffea
Lineage: Eukaryota; Metazoa; Arthropoda; Insecta; Hymenoptera; Eulophidae
Exons: 3
Source: RefSeq, a predicted model, not a curated record